GCCAGGCAUGGUGGCUCAUGCCUGUAAUCCAAUCACUUUGGAGGCCAAGGCGGGAGGAUCACCUGAGGUCGGGAGUUCAAGACCAGCCUGACCAACAUGGUGAAACCCUGUCUUUA
Molecule: small RNA, 116 nt
Filed under: Callithrix jacchus (white-tufted-ear marmoset)
Lineage: Eukaryota; Metazoa; Chordata; Mammalia; Primates; Cebidae
Description: Metazoan signal recognition particle RNA (ENSCJAG00000075345.1)
Source: Rfam by way of RNAcentral